RNAcentral lists this transfer RNA (65 nucleotides) under Gekko athymus. RNAcentral describes it as "tRNA-Trp". The record is from RNAcentral. Lineage: Eukaryota; Metazoa; Chordata; Lepidosauria; Squamata; Gekkonidae.
AAAUUUAGGUUACGUAUCAAACCAAGGGCCUUCAAAGCCCUAAACAGGACCGAUCCUAAUUUCUG